This 23-nucleotide small nuclear RNA is filed under the name Arabidopsis thaliana (thale cress). RNAcentral describes it as "snRNA_09893". The record is from RNAcentral. Lineage: Eukaryota; Viridiplantae; Streptophyta; Magnoliopsida; Brassicales; Brassicaceae.
AAUAGAAAAAUAAAACGUGAUCU